AUUGAACGCUGGCGGCAUGCCUUACACAUGCAAGUCGAACGGCAGCAUGAUCUAGCUUGCUAGAUUGAUGGCGAGUGGCGAACGGGUGAGUAAUACAUCGGAACGUGCCCUGUAGUGGGGGAUAACUAGUCGAAAGAUUAGCUAAUACCGCAUACGACCUGAGGGUGAAAGUGGGGGACCGCAAGGCCUCAUGCUAUAGGAGCGGCCGAUGUCUGAUUAGCUAGUUGGUGAGGUAAAGGCUCACCAAGGCGACGAUCAGUAGCUGGUCUGAGAGGACGACCAGCCACACUGGGACUGAGACACGGCCCAGACUCCUACGGGAGGCAGCAGUGGGGAAUUUUGGACAAUGGGCGAAAGCCUGAUCCAGCAAUGCCGCGUGUGUGAAGAAGGCCUUCGGGUUGUAAAGCACUUUUGUCCGGAAAGAAAUGGCUCUGGUUAAUACCUGGGGUCGAUGACGGUACCGGAAGAAUAAGGACCGGCUAACUACGUG
This 490-nucleotide ribosomal RNA is filed under the name uncultured bacterium. RNAcentral describes it as "partial 16S ribosomal RNA". It matches the Rfam family "Bacterial small subunit ribosomal RNA", at positions 30 to 507 of the family's 1533-position model. The record is from RNAcentral.